UGAGCAAUCUGCCCUUCUCAUCGGAAUAAGCGUUGGAAACGACGUCUAAUGCCGAAUACGACCUCCUUUCGCAUGAUCGGAGGUGGAAAGCUCCGGCGGAGAAGGAUGAGCUCGCGGCCUAUCAGCUAGUUGGUGUGGGUAAUGGCCCACCAAGGCGACGACGGGUAGCCGGCCUGAGAGGGUGACCGGCCACACUGGGACUGAGACACGGCCCAGACCUCCUACGGGAGGNAGCG
RNAcentral lists this ribosomal RNA (236 nucleotides) under uncultured bacterium. Its description in RNAcentral is "partial 16S ribosomal RNA". It matches the Rfam family "Bacterial small subunit ribosomal RNA", at positions 118 to 353 of the family's 1533-position model. The record is from RNAcentral.